UACGUAGGGGGCAAGCGUUAUCCGGAUUUACUGGGUGUAAAGGGAGCGUAGACGGUUAUGUAAGUCUGAAGUGAAAGCCCGGGGCCCAACCCCGGGACUGCUUUGGAAACUGUGUAACUAGAGUACAGGAGGGGCAGGCGGAAUUCCUGGUGUAGCGGUGAAAUGCGUAGAUAUCAGGAGGAACACCGGCGGAGAAGGCGGCCUGCUGGACUGAAACUGACGUUGAGGCUCGAAAGCGUGGGGAGCAAACAGG
This 253-nucleotide ribosomal RNA is filed under the name uncultured bacterium. Its description in RNAcentral is "partial 16S ribosomal RNA". It matches the Rfam family "Bacterial small subunit ribosomal RNA", at positions 524 to 776 of the family's 1533-position model. The record is from RNAcentral.